This 499-nucleotide ribosomal RNA is filed under the name uncultured bacterium. RNAcentral's name for it is "partial 16S ribosomal RNA". It matches the Rfam family "Bacterial small subunit ribosomal RNA", at positions 28 to 507 of the family's 1533-position model. The record is from RNAcentral.
GACGAACGCUGGCGGCGUGCUUAACACAUGCAAGUCGAACGGGCCCGCCCCUGUUUUUGGGGGUGGGUUGAGUGGCGAACGGGUGAGUAUCACGUGAGUAACCUGCCCCCUGCUCCUGGAUAACUGCUUGAAAGGGCGGCUAAUACGGGGUGUGCCGGCUGGUCCGCAUGGGCCUGGUCGGGAUAGUUUCAUCUUCGGGUGUUUCGGUGGGGGAUGGGCUCGCGGCCUAUCAGCUUGUUGGUGGGGUGAUGGCCCACCAAGGCGGUGACGGGUAGCCGGCCUGAGAGGGUGGGCGGCCACACUGGGACUGAGACACGGCCCAGACUCCUGCGGGAGGCAGCAGUGGGGGGUAUUGCGCAAUGGGCGGAAGCCUGAUGCAGCGACGUCGCGUGAGGGAUGGAGGCCUUCGGGUUGCGAACCUCUUUCUCCGGUGGUGAAGGCCCUGUCCGUUGCGGCGGGGUUGACGGUAGCCGGGUAUGAAGCGCCGGCUAACUACGUG